This is a long non-coding RNA of Syngnathus acus (greater pipefish), 505 nucleotides long. RefSeq lists it as uncharacterized. The transcript is spliced from 4 exons. The record is from RefSeq and is a predicted model, not a curated record. Lineage: Eukaryota; Metazoa; Chordata; Actinopteri; Syngnathiformes; Syngnathidae.
GCGUCACCGCCAACGCCCGAGGGGUGGAGGCUCGUGCUCGCGCUCCCCAUUGAGAAGCGCAUACUACAAACGCCUCCUCCCCUCCCUUCCGUGUGGCGUCGCGCACGCGCACGCACAAUACGUACGAGCGAACGUGAAGUGAAAUAAGGCCAGUGGGGCGGCACACCCCGAAGUCCUGCGGCUGUGCAACCAGGUGGACGCUUUGCUGAACUAACAAGGCGGCGCAAAGUGUGCGCUUGUUCUCGCUGGGUGGCUGCCUGAAAUGUCAGCGCUGAAGGAACAGAUAGUGAAGGCUUGUAAAAAGACGCCUUCUUGUGGACAAUGGGUGCAACUGUCUCGGGUCAAGAUGUGGAAGAAGAAACAAAAAUGAGGAAAACACAGAAAAGCAUGGUGACCAGCAGCACCAGAGCGCCGAUGGUGGCCAUCAUGCCACCAUAGUAGGAGAGCAAAGCAUCACGACAGCCGCUCCUCCACACGUUGAGGUCCUCGGUGUGGUGGUCGUAGC